UGGGGAAUUUUGGACGAAUUGGGCGAAAGCCUGAUCCAGCAAUGCCGCGUGUGUGAAGAAGGCCUUCGGGUUGUAAAGCACUUUUGUCCGGAAAGAAAUCCUUGGCUCUAAUACAGUCGGGGGAUGACGGUACCGGAAGAAUAAGCACCGGCUAACUACGUGCCAGCAGCCGCGGUAAUACGUAGGGUGCAAGCGUUAAUCGGAAUUACUGGGCGUAAAGCGUGCGCAGGCGGUUUGCUAAGACCGAUGUGAAAUCCCCGGGCUCAACCUGGGAACUGCAUUGGUGACUGGCAGGCUAGAGUAUGGCAGAGGGGGGUAGAAUUCCACGUGUAGCAGUGAAAUGCGUAGAGAUGUGGAGGAAUACCGAUGGCGAAGGCAGCCCCCUGGCAAGUACUGACGCUCAUGCACG
Molecule: ribosomal RNA, 409 nt
Filed under: uncultured bacterium
Lineage: Bacteria
Description: partial 16S ribosomal RNA
Rfam family: Bacterial small subunit ribosomal RNA
Source: RNAcentral